AUAGCGUAUAUUAAAGUUGUUGCAGUUAAAAAGCUCGUAGUUGAACCUUGGGCCUGGCUGGCCGGUCCGCCUCACGGCGUGUACUGUCGGCUGGGGCCUUCCCUCUUGGUGAACCCUCAUGCCCUUUAUUGGGUGUGGGGGGGAACCAGGACUUUUACUUUGAAAAAAUUAGAGUGUUCAAAGCAGGCCUAUGCCCGAAUACAUUAGCAUGGAAUAAUAAAAUAGGACGUGCGGUUCUAUUUUGUUGGUUUCUAGGAUCGCCGUAAUGAUUAAUAGGGAUAGUUGGGGGCAUUAGUAUUCAGUUGCUAGAGGUGAAAUUCUUGGAUUUACUGAAGACUAACUACUG
RNAcentral lists this ribosomal RNA (346 nucleotides) under uncultured eukaryote. RNAcentral's name for it is "partial 18S ribosomal RNA". It matches the Rfam family "Eukaryotic small subunit ribosomal RNA", at positions 594 to 945 of the family's 1831-position model. The record is from RNAcentral.